Molecule: small nuclear RNA, 181 nt
Filed under: Fukomys damarensis (Damara mole-rat)
Lineage: Eukaryota; Metazoa; Chordata; Mammalia; Rodentia; Bathyergidae
Description: 7SK RNA
Rfam family: 7SK RNA
About the family: 7SK was discovered as an abundant small nuclear RNA in the mid-70s but a possible function has only recently been suggested. Two independent studies have found that 7SK RNA binds the CDK9/cyclin T complex (known as elongation factor P-TEFb). P-TEFb activates transcription by phosphorylating the C-terminal domain of RNA polymerase II.
Source: Rfam by way of RNAcentral
AGACUGGAGGGCGAUCUGGCUGCAGAGUCUGUCAUCUCAUCGAUGGGCAGCGUUGAUUGGCCUGAUCUGGCUGGCUAGGUAGGUGACCCCUUCCUCCCUCACUGCUCCAUGUGUACCCUCCUGAAGCUGCACACUGAAUUGAAGAGGAUGGCCAUCCCCAAUAGGGGAGGACCACUUCCUC